RNAcentral lists this ribosomal RNA (253 nucleotides) under uncultured bacterium. RNAcentral's name for it is "partial 16S ribosomal RNA". It matches the Rfam family "Bacterial small subunit ribosomal RNA", at positions 524 to 776 of the family's 1533-position model. The record is from RNAcentral.
UACGUAGGGGCCGAGCGUUGUCCGGAGUUACUGGGCGUAAAGCGCGCGCAGGCGGCGCAUCGCGCCCGGCGUGAAAGCCCCCGGCUCAACCGGGGAGGGUCGUCGGGGACGGGUGCGCUUGAGGACGGCAGGGGCAGGUGGAAUUCCCGGUGUAGUGGUGAAAUGCGUAGAGAUCGGGAGGAACACCAGUGGCGAAGGCGAAUACCUGGCCUGUUCUUGACGCUGAGGCGCGAAAGCUAGGGGAGCAAACGGG